UACCCGCCGCACAAGUGGUGGUCAUUAUUAUUGGGCCUAAAGCGUCCGUAGCUGGCUUGUUAGAUGCCUGGGUAAAUCGAUGCGCUCAACGCAUCGAACUCCGGGUAGACCGGCAAGCUUGGGACCGGGAGAGGCGUGAGCUACUCGAGGGGUAGGGGUAAAAUCCUGUAAUCCUUCGGGGAGGACCAGUGGCGAAGGCGUCACGCUAGAACGGCUCCGACAGUGAGGGACGAAGCCCUGGGGCGCAAACCGG
Molecule: ribosomal RNA, 253 nt
Filed under: uncultured bacterium
Lineage: Bacteria
Description: partial 16S ribosomal RNA
Rfam family: Archaeal small subunit ribosomal RNA
Source: RNAcentral